GAUGAACGCUAGCUACAGGCUUAACACAUGCAAGUCGAGGGGAAACGAUAGAGAAAGCUUGCUUUUUCUAGGCGUCGACCGGCGCACGGGUGAGUAACGCGUAUCCAACCUGCCCACCACUUGGGGAUAACCUUGCGAAAGUAAGACUAAUACCCAAUGAUAUCUCUAGAAGACAUCUGAAAGGGAUUAAAGAUUUAUCGGUGAUGGAUGGGGAUGCGUCUGAUUAGCUUGUUGGCGGGGUAACGGCCCACCAAGGCUACGAUCAGUAGGGGUUCUGAGAGGAAGGUCCCCCACAUUGGAACUGAGACACGGUCCAAACUCCUACGGGAGGCAGCAGUGAGGAAUAUUGGUCAAUGGACGAGAGUCUGAACCAGCCAAGUAGCGUGCAGGAUGACGGCCCUAUGGGUUGUAAACUGCUUUUAUAAGGGAACAAAGUGAGUCUCGUGAGACUUUUUGCAUGUACCUUAUGAAUAAGGACCGGCUAAUUCCGUGCCAGCCGCCGCAGUAA
This 508-nucleotide ribosomal RNA is filed under the name uncultured bacterium. RNAcentral describes it as "partial 16S ribosomal RNA". It matches the Rfam family "Bacterial small subunit ribosomal RNA", at positions 28 to 523 of the family's 1533-position model. The record is from RNAcentral.